Molecule: ribosomal RNA, 274 nt
Filed under: uncultured bacterium
Lineage: Bacteria
Description: partial 16S ribosomal RNA
Rfam family: Bacterial small subunit ribosomal RNA
Source: RNAcentral
AUACGGAGGGUGCAAGCGUUAAUCGGAAUUACUGGGCGUAAAGCGCGCGUAGGCGGUAAGGUCAGUCGGAUGUGAAAGCCCCGGGCUCAACCUGGGAACUGCAUUCGAUACUGCCUGACUAGAGUAUGGUAGAGGGAAGUGGAAUUUCCGGUGUAGCGGUGAAAUGCGUAGAUAUCGGAAGGAACACCAGUGGCGAAGGCGGCUUCCUGGACCAAUACUGACGCUGAGGUGCGAAAGCGUGGGGAGCAAACAGGAUUAGAUACCCUAGUAGUCC